This 686-nucleotide ribosomal RNA is filed under the name Theristus sp. Ugent CeMoFe87H6K12. Its description in RNAcentral is "SSU rRNA". It matches the Rfam family "Eukaryotic small subunit ribosomal RNA", at positions 136 to 909 of the family's 1831-position model. The record is from RNAcentral. Lineage: Eukaryota; Metazoa; Nematoda; Chromadorea; Monhysterida; Xyalidae.
UACUUGGAUAACUGUGGUAAUUCUAGAGCUAAUACACGCAGGACGAGCGCAUUUAUUAGAACAAAACCAAUUUUGGUGAAUCUGAAUAACUUUCGGUCUUCGUACCGGCGAUGCAUCUUUCAAGUGUCUGCCUUAUCAACUUUCGAUGGUAGUUUAUGUGACUACCAUGGUUGUAACGGGUAACGGAGAAUUAGGGUUCGACUCCGGAGAGGGAGCCUGAGAAACGGCUACCACUUCUAAGGAAGGCAGCAGGCGCGAAAAUUACCCACUAUCAGCGAUGAGGUAGUAACGAAAAAUAACGAGCGGAGCUUCUUACGCAUCGGAAUGAGAACAAUGUAAACCUUUUAGCGAGGAUCUAGCAGAGGGCAAGUCUGGUGCCAGCAGCCGCGGUAAUUCCAGCUCUGCCAGUGUAUAUCUAUGCUGCUGCGGUUAAAAAGCUCGUAGUUGGAUCUGCCACGGUGGCGGUCGGCCUUCGGGUCUGCUGUCAGCUCAGCGUCGGUGCCCUUAACCGGGUGUCGUCGUCGACUGGCGAGUUUACUUUGAAAAAAUUAGAGUGCUCAAAACAAGCGUUUCGCUUGAAUACUGGUGCAUGGAAUAAUAGAAUAGGAGGUUCUAUUUUGUUGGUUUUCGGAGCAAAGGUAAUGAUUAAGAGGGACAGUCGGGGGCAUUCGUAUUGCGACGCUAGA